Molecule: long non-coding RNA, 239 nt
Organism: Neopelma chrysocephalum (saffron-crested tyrant-manakin)
Lineage: Eukaryota; Metazoa; Chordata; Aves; Passeriformes; Pipridae
Exons: 3
Source: RefSeq, a predicted model, not a curated record
CCUGUUCAGCGCCUGGCCAAUGCCCCCAGCCUGGACUUUCUUGGGGAGAGAGCUGUCUCUGCUGAAGCAGCCAUAACGCCAGACAGAGACGUGCAGCAGAGCCCCCCCACGGUGCCCAAGCUGGCCUGGGUGAAGGAGGAGGAGGAGGAGGAGGAAAGCCCUGGGGCUGCUCCAGCACAGCAGCCUGAAGAGGUGCAGCAGGUGCAGCCCCCACAGGAGGAUGCAGGCCAGGAGCGGAC